RNAcentral lists this ribosomal RNA (468 nucleotides) under uncultured bacterium. Its description in RNAcentral is "partial 16S ribosomal RNA". It matches the Rfam family "Bacterial small subunit ribosomal RNA", at positions 28 to 507 of the family's 1533-position model. The record is from RNAcentral.
GACGAACGCUGGCGGCGUGCUUAACACAUGCAAGUCGAACGGAAAGGCCCUGCUUUUGUGGGGUGCUCGAGUGGCGAACGGGUGAGUAACACGUGAGUAACCUGCCCUUGACUUUGGGAUAACUUCAGGAAACUGGGGCUAAUACCGGAUAGGAGCUCCUGCUGCAUGGUGGGGGUUGGAAAGUUUCGGCGGUUGGGGAUGGACUCGCGGCUUAUCAGCUUGUUGGUGGGGUAGUGGCUUACCAAGGCUUUGACGGGUAGCCGGCCUGAGAGGGUGACCGGCCACAUUGGGACUGAGAUACGGCGCAGACUCCUACGGGAGGCAGCAGUGGGGAAUAUUGCACAAUGGGCGGAAGCCUGAUGCAGCAACGCCGCGUGCGGGAUGACGGCCUGCGGGUUGUAAACCGCUUUCGCCUGUGACGAAGCGUGAGUGACGGUAAUGGGUAAAGAAGCACCGGCUAACUACGUG